This 253-nucleotide long non-coding RNA is filed under the name Carica papaya (papaya). RNAcentral describes it as "long non-coding RNA (CPAP_LNC011917)". Lineage: Eukaryota; Viridiplantae; Streptophyta; Magnoliopsida; Brassicales; Caricaceae. The record is from RNAcentral.
ACAUAUAACUAAGGUCAGAAGUGGCUGUAAAAUAUAAAGUCAAAAUACAAAAGAAUGUCACUUCUUUUACUAUGCUAUUAGACUCAUCAGAGUGUGGGAACGAUCAUGCACUUAAGUUUUAUGGAUCCACGGAAUCCUUAUAAUCUUCGAUGGGUAGGUCAGCUGGUGGUUCCUCAUUCUUUUCAUCAUCUGGGUGGGGGCAUAGAAAGAGUGAGUUCCAUAUGCUCAGUAAGGAACACAGUAUUUAAAUAAC